UCCAGCGCACUCACCUAUCCACUAAACAGCAACUUCAAUGUUGAAAGAUUUUAUUCGUUUUUUUAAAAACACCCCCGUUAUUUUUGCCUAGAUUAAGUGUUUUUAAAAAAACAAAUAAAAUCUUUCAACAUUGAAGUUGCUGUUUAGUGGAUAGGUGAGUGCGCUGGA
This is a non-coding RNA of Pelobates cultripes (western spadefoot toad), 168 nucleotides long. Lineage: Eukaryota; Metazoa; Chordata; Amphibia; Anura; Pelobatidae. The record is from the annotation of a GenBank genome assembly.